Molecule: ribosomal RNA, 495 nt
Filed under: uncultured bacterium
Lineage: Bacteria
Description: partial 16S ribosomal RNA
Rfam family: Bacterial small subunit ribosomal RNA
Source: RNAcentral
GACGAACGCUGGCGGCGUGCCUAAUACAUGCAAGUAGAACGCUGAAGGAGGAGCUUGCUUCUCUGGAUGAGUUGCGAACGGGUGAGUAACGCGUAGGUAACCUGCCUGGUAGCGGGGGAUAACUAUUGGAAACGAUAGCUAAUACCGCAUAAGAGUAGAUGUUGCAUGACAUUUGCUUAAAAGGUGCAAUUGCAUCACUACCAGAUGGACCUGCGUUGUAUUAGCUAGUUGGUGGGGUAACGGCUCACCAAGGCGAGGAUACAUAGCCGACCUGAGAGGGGGAUCGGCCACACUGGGACUGAGACACGGCCCAGACUCCUACGGGAGGCAGCAGUAGGGAAUCUUCGGCAAUGGACGGAAGUCUGACCGAGCAACGCCGCGUGAGUGAAGAAGGUUUUCGGAUCGUAAAGCUCGGUUGUAAGAGAAGAACGAGUGUGAGAGUGGAAAGUUCACACUGUGACGGUAACUUACCAGAAAGGGACGGCUAACUACGUG